Non-coding RNA from Chelonoidis abingdonii (Abingdon island giant tortoise), 1052 nucleotides. The record is from RefSeq and is a predicted model, not a curated record. NCBI's taxonomy places the organism in Eukaryota, Metazoa, Chordata, Testudines, Testudinidae.
UCCCAGAGGCCCAGGUGCAUUGGAGGCCAGCCUAAGUGAAGGAAGUAUCAAUGUAUUCCUUUUUGAAGUGCCUCGUGGAUAAAACUGCCUCACAUGCAUAAAGUACUGUACAAACAUUAAUUAACUUGCUAGUGGCUGUACUUCGAAGUCUGUUGCUUCCCAGCUAUAUUUCAGGGAGCUUGUCUACACUUAAAAGGCUCCAGUGGUGCCAGUGCAGCUUGGUAAUCCACCUCUCUGAGUGGUGGUAGCUAUGUCAACAGGAGAAGUCCUCCCCUCAAUAUAGCGCUGUCCACACCAGGAGUUAGGGAUGGACAAGUGAGCGUUGUCAAGCUGGCUGACUUCUUGAAAGUGCAUGCUCUAAUGUCAGAGCGAAGAGUGAGGCACUGAGAAGAGAAAAUAUAAAGAGAGCACGUACUGGACGGAUCAAUUGCUGACAGCCCUAAUUUUGUUCCUAAUAAUCUAUCUCACCAGAAGAAAAACUUUUAGUGCACAACCUUGAAUUAUUUUACAUCUAUCAUGUUUUGCAAUCCUGGCACCAUCUCUGAUACAGAUUUUUUUUCAUACUCUCCUUUGUCACCCAGGUAAAUUAAAUCCUAUUGAAACAGCUGUCUGUUGCCACAGAGGGCAUUGCUUGUGUGUGACAGACAGCGGCUUUUCAUAGGGCGGAAAUUAGAUAGGCUUCUCAUGGGAGAAAUAUUCGUAAGUCAGAAUGUCAGUCGGUGAAUGCAGCAUCCUGACUCUCAUGUGUUUUUCCAGGUUGGUCCUCACUACUGUCACUGAAAGAAUGUGUCCUGAGUUUAAGUGGACACCAGUGAAUGAAAGAUGUGCUAGGGUUUGGGGUUAAACAUGCACUGCGGACUUUGUUUCUUAAGAGUGUGACUUGUAUUUGACUUAACUUUUCAAGAAAUAUUUCAUCUACUGCAUUCCCUUUAUCCACCAGUUCUGUAAAAAGCAGCCCAAGUUUUCCUCGUGUUAUUUCGUCUUCAUAAACCCCAUACUACUUUUUGCUCAUGUUCCCUUUCUCCUUUGGAUAAUUAAAUACCUAUCUGAUA